RNAcentral lists this ribosomal RNA (485 nucleotides) under uncultured bacterium. Its description in RNAcentral is "bacterial SSU rRNA". It matches the Rfam family "Bacterial small subunit ribosomal RNA", at positions 8 to 518 of the family's 1533-position model. The record is from RNAcentral.
AGAGUUUGAUCCUGGCUUAGAACGAACGCUGGCGGCAUGGAUUAGGCAUGCAAGUCGAACGAAGCAGCAAUGCUUAGUGGCGCAAGGGUGAGGAACACGUGAGUGACCUACCCGCAAGUUUGGAACAGCUCCUGGAAACGGGAAUUAAUACCGGAUGUGAUCAUGAAGCUGCAUGGUUUCAUGAUUAAAGCAGUAAUGCGCUUGCGGAUGGGCUCGCGUCCCAUUAGCUAGUUGGUGAGGUAACGGCCCACCAAGGCCAUGAUGGGUAGCUGGUCUGAGAGGACGACCAGCCACACUGGGACUGAGAACUGCCCAGACUCCUACGGGAGGCUGCAGUCGAGAAUUUUGGGCAAUGGACGAAAGUCUGAACCCCCAGCAAUGCCGCGUGCGGGAUGAAGGUCUUCGGAUUGUAAACCGCUGUUUGGAGGGCGAAAAUUGACGGUACUUCCAGAGGAAGCCACGGCUAACUACGUGCCAGCAGCGGC